Molecule: long non-coding RNA, 654 nt
Filed under: Fukomys damarensis (Damara mole-rat)
Lineage: Eukaryota; Metazoa; Chordata; Mammalia; Rodentia; Bathyergidae
Description: lncRNA (ENSFDAG00000024370.1)
Source: RNAcentral
GGUGUCUUCAUGAUAUCACAAAGCAGGUUCAGCAUCAUAGCAGGCAUGAUGGAAAGAUAUGGGAACUUCUCCAUUUCCCCAGUUAAAUAGGAACCUUGAAUGUGUGGAAAAAAUUGAGCAAGCCUGGGACAGAGAACCCAUUGGUCCCAGCAUCACUCCUGCAAAGAGCAAGACAAACGGUGAGCUGGAAGCCAAGAGGAAGAAACCAGCCUCUGGCGGGGAGCCUUCCUGGAAGGGACAGGAACUGGGAGGUCCCCAAGAGCAUCAGAGCCUGGGGUGAGGCCCACGUGGAGGAGGUAUAUACCAGCCCAUCACCUGGGCAAUGCUGGAGAGUAAAUGAAAAUAGCCAUCCCCAGAGAAACAUAUUUAUUCAUUUAAUGGCUGAAACAAAAUGCCAUCUCUGUUGUGAUAACAAAAAGCUUAAAGUGCAUUACUGUCGUCUGUCUCUCAAUACACUUGUGGUCUGGCUCCUGGGUCACGUAGUGCAACAGUCCAUGUAAUCCCCUGAACGGAAAAAAAUUAGGCUCAAAGUGCCAAAUGGACGCCCACCACAUAAUAUCAGGUAAAACAAGCAUAUUCCUUUGUCCCCUCUGGCCCCCCUUCCAAAACCUCCCCAAAUGUUAGAGAAAUCGAGAGAAAUUCCAGUCAUUUCUC